CCGAGUUUACAACUCCCAAACCCCUGUGAACAUACCAUAUACGUUGCCUCGGCGGAUCAGCCCGGCGCCCUCGCGGCCCGGAAACAGGGACGGCCCGCCGGAGGACCCCUAAACUCUAUGUCUUUAGUGGUACUCUCUGAGUGAAACAUAACAAAUAAAUCA
This 162-nucleotide unclassified non-coding RNA is filed under the name soil metagenome. RNAcentral's name for it is "partial internal transcribed spacer 1". The record is from RNAcentral.